GUCCACGCCAUAAACGAUGGAUACUUGUCGUUGGAGGUAUUGACCCCUUCAGUGACGAAGCUAACGCGUUAAGUAUCCCGCCUGGGGAGUACGGUCGCAAGAUUAAAACUCAAAGAAAUUGACGGGGGCCCGCACAAGCGGUGGAUCAUGUGGUUUAAUUCGAUGCAACGCGAAGAACCUUACCUGGGCUUGACAUGUACUGGAAGAGUGGCAGAAAUGUCCUCGCUCGCAAGAGUCGGUAUACAGGUGCUGCAUGGCUGUCGU
RNAcentral lists this ribosomal RNA (264 nucleotides) under uncultured bacterium. RNAcentral describes it as "partial 16S ribosomal RNA". It matches the Rfam family "Bacterial small subunit ribosomal RNA", at positions 793 to 1055 of the family's 1533-position model. The record is from RNAcentral.